UACGUAGGGUGCAAGCGUUAAUCGGAAUUACUGGGCGUAAAGCGUGCGCAGGCGGUUUUGUAAGUCUGUCGUGAAAUCCCCGGGCUCAACCUGGGAAUUGCGAUGGAGACUGCAAGGCUAGAAUCUGGCAGAGGGGGGUAGAAUUCCACGUGUAGCAGUGAAAUGCGUAGAGAUGUGGAGGAACACCGAUGGCGAAGGCACUUUACUGGGCUAUUACUAACACUGAGAGACGAAAGCUAGGGUAGCAAACAGG
RNAcentral lists this ribosomal RNA (253 nucleotides) under uncultured bacterium. Its description in RNAcentral is "partial 16S ribosomal RNA". It matches the Rfam family "Bacterial small subunit ribosomal RNA", at positions 524 to 776 of the family's 1533-position model. The record is from RNAcentral.